UCUUUGUUAGUACAGUGGUCAGUAUAUCCGCUUUUCAAGUCAAAAAGUUGCGCGGACGACCCGGGUUCGAACCCCGGACAGAGAA
Molecule: non-coding RNA, 85 nt
Organism: Dioszegia hungarica
Lineage: Eukaryota; Fungi; Basidiomycota; Tremellomycetes; Tremellales; Bulleribasidiaceae
Source: the annotation of a RefSeq genome assembly